GAGUGUGCUUGGUAUGAUGAUCAGCUCCUCUAAUGCAGGGCUCAGAAUUGAACUCCUGCGUGACGUCAUGAUUGGCAAUUAUCAGGACCUGAGUUGACAGAGAGAACUGGAAAAAGACACAACACAGGGUUUGUUUACCAAAUUCCAGAGGCAGAGAGAGGACAACUUUUGCUUCAAAAUACCAGAAUACCUUUUCUAAUAAACCAUAGUCGUACAAGUUUCCUGGCUGAAGACAUGGACAAGGAGAGAGCCUCCAUUUAUAGAAGACAGCAGCAGGCGAUAUACUUGAGACUUACAUGGCGAAAUGAGUGGCGGCAUCAAAUCCACCGUCUACCCUACACUCUAGAGCCGGCAGAAACCCCUCAUAACAAGGGCACUGAACAUACCCUGGCCCAGACUGAAAAUGUGCAGGGAUCAUUUCACACACACACACGCACACACACACACACACACACACUACAAACUAACAUAACUUUGAAAGUAAACCUACACCCACAGUAUAUGCAUUAAAAGACUAC
Alosa alosa (allis shad) is the source of this 518-nucleotide long non-coding RNA. RefSeq lists it as uncharacterized. NCBI's taxonomy places the organism in Eukaryota, Metazoa, Chordata, Actinopteri, Clupeiformes, Clupeidae. The transcript is spliced from 3 exons. The record is from RefSeq and is a predicted model, not a curated record.